RNAcentral lists this ribosomal RNA (253 nucleotides) under uncultured bacterium. Its description in RNAcentral is "partial 16S ribosomal RNA". It matches the Rfam family "Bacterial small subunit ribosomal RNA", at positions 524 to 776 of the family's 1533-position model. The record is from RNAcentral.
UACGUACCGUGCGAACGUUAUUCGGAAUUACUGGGCUUAAAGGGUUUGUAGGCGGCCUUGUAAGUCAGGUGUGAAAUCCCUCGGCUCAACCGAGGAACGGCGCUUGAUACUGCAAGGCUUGAGGGAGACAGGGGUAAGCGGAACUGAUGGUGGAGCGGUGAAAUGCGUUGAUAUCAUCAGGAACACCGGUGGCGAAAGCGGCUUACUGGGUCUCUUCUGACGCUGAGGUGCGAAAGCUAGGGUAGCAAACGGG